Molecule: regulatory RNA element, 141 nt
Organism: Anaerocolumna xylanovorans DSM 12503
Lineage: Bacteria; Bacillati; Bacillota; Clostridia; Lachnospirales; Lachnospiraceae
Rfam family: Ribosomal protein L10 leader
About the family: This family is a putative r-protein leader autoregulatory structure found in B. subtilis and other low-GC Gram-positive bacteria. It is located in the 5' untranslated regions of mRNAs encoding ribosomal proteins L10 and L12 (rplJ-rplL). A Rho-independent transcription terminator structure that is probably involved in regulation is included at the 3' end.
Source: Rfam
CUAGUUUAGCAAUAUCUGCCGAAGACAGUAGGUGCCGUAAGGCAUAAGGUGAGAACGCCUACCGAGGGAAUAAAUUUUUAUGAGUUUAAGAAAUUUAUGGAAUCCCUUACUGUUCGGCAGUGAGGGAUUUUUUUUGAAAAU